RNAcentral lists this ribosomal RNA (500 nucleotides) under uncultured bacterium. Its description in RNAcentral is "partial 16S ribosomal RNA". It matches the Rfam family "Bacterial small subunit ribosomal RNA", at positions 30 to 523 of the family's 1533-position model. The record is from RNAcentral.
AUUGAACGCUGGCGGAAUGCUUUACACAUGCAAGUCGAACGGCAGCACGGACUUCGGUCUGGUGGCGAGUGGCGAACGGGUGAGUAACAUAUCGGAACGUAUCCAAUAAUGGGGGAUAACGAGUCGAAAGAUUCGCUAAUACCGCAUACGCCCUACGGGGGAAAGCUGGGGACCUUCGGGCCUGGCGUUAAUGGAGCGGCCGAUAUCUGAUUAGCUAGUUGGUGAGGUAAAGGCUCACCAAGGCGACGAUCAGUAGCUGGUCUGAGAGGACGACCAGCCACACUGGAACUGGGACACGGUCCAGACUCCUACGGGAGGCAGCAGUGGGGAAUUUUGGAAAAUGGGCGCAAGCCUGAUCCAGCCAUUCCGCGUGAGUGAAGAAGGCCUUCGGGUUGUAAAGCUCUUUCGCAAGGGAAGAAAACUUAGCCACUAACAUUGGUUGAGGUUGACGGUACCUUGAUAAGAAGCACCGGCUAACUACGUGCCAGCCGCCGCCGUAA